Molecule: ribosomal RNA, 377 nt
Filed under: Ixchela furcula
Lineage: Eukaryota; Metazoa; Arthropoda; Arachnida; Araneae; Pholcidae
Description: partial 16S ribosomal RNA
Rfam family: Bacterial large subunit ribosomal RNA
Source: RNAcentral
AUCAUAAAUAGCUGCAGAUAUUUCUGUACUAAGGUAGCAUAAUCAUUAGCUUUUUAAUUAAAAGAUAGAAUGAAAGGUUAAACGAAAUAUUUUCUGUCUCUAAAGUUAAACACGAAAUUAAAAUAAAAGUAAAAAUUCUUUUUAAAUUAAGAAGGACGACAAGACCCUGAUAAACUCAAUCAUUUAGCUGGGGCGGCAAAACAAAAAAACCUUAUAUAAUAUAAACUUUAACACUCCUAAUAUAAAUUAAACAAGAUACAGUUACUACAGGGAUAACAGCGCAAUCUUUUUUAAAAGAACUUAUCCAAAAAAAGCUUUACGACCUCGAUGUUGAAUUAAUUUCAUCUUUUAAGAGCAAAAUCCUUAAUGAGAAGGUC